This 253-nucleotide ribosomal RNA is filed under the name uncultured bacterium. RNAcentral describes it as "partial 16S ribosomal RNA". It matches the Rfam family "Bacterial small subunit ribosomal RNA", at positions 524 to 776 of the family's 1533-position model. The record is from RNAcentral.
UACGUAGGCAGCAAGCGUUGUUCGGAGUUACUGGGCGUAAAGGGUGUGUAGGCGGUUCUUUAAGUUUGGGGUGAAAUCUCCCGGCUCAACCGGGAGGGUGCGCCGAAUACUGAGGGACUAGAGUGCGGGAGAGGAAAGUGGAAUUCCUGGUGUAGCGGUGAAAUGCGUAGAUAUCAGGAGGAACACCGGUGGUGUAGACGGCUUUCUGGACCGUAACUGACGCUGAGACACGAAAGCGUGGGUAGCAAACAGG